Molecule: long non-coding RNA, 2937 nt
Organism: Musa acuminata AAA Group (dessert banana)
Lineage: Eukaryota; Viridiplantae; Streptophyta; Magnoliopsida; Zingiberales; Musaceae
Exons: 3
Source: RefSeq, a predicted model, not a curated record
AGUUCUAACGAAUUAUCCUAAGUUCCCACGUUUACCUUUCCUUCCUCCCCUAUUUCCACCGAUUCUUUCGCCGUUUCCUCUAUCGGAUCGAUCAGGAUUCUCUUGUUUCUAAUUAUCCGGUCAGUUGUUACUGCCCUUCAAUCUUGAUUCCUCAGAAGCACGGGGAGAAAUCUUGAUCUUUUGAGCCGGAUUCGUUCAUCCUGUCUCCGAUUUGAUUUGGUUGUCAAAAAAGCUUACUUCUUGAUCGAUCCGCUGCAGCUUUAAUCCUUCUUGACUACUGAUAUUUCCUUUCCUUUUUUUCUAGUUGGAAAAAUCGUUCCUUUUUAGGUUUGAGCUUGAAUUUUGUUUGAUUUCUUUUAAAUACGUCCUGAAACCCCCCUUUUUUUCCCACCCAUCAUUCCGAUUCGAGUCUUCGAAGAUCCAUCUUUUAUCGAUCUAUGAAACUUAAUUCUUAGUUAAUAAUCCUGUUCGGCUUCUAUCUCCUCGAUUUGCUUGUGUUCGCAUCUCUUCCAGGGCAUCAAAUGGCUCGAGAAAGCUGUAAUCUUGACAAAGACGAAGCCGAAAUCCUCAAACCUUCCUCCCCUUCUCCGUCGACCCCUGCUCCUCCAUCAUCGUCCCCUGCACCGCCGUCCCUGUUCUUGAAACCCUGUGAGGAAUCGCUGAACCUGAGAGCGGAGACUCCGGCUACGGAGACCGCCGUCGCGGCAUCUACCACGCCCAAGACCGACAAGGAGUCGAAGCCUGAGGAGGAAUCCAAACCGCAGGUACGAUUCAGCAAUAGGUGCUGACCGGAUUCCGGUGUCGAUGCGGGGAUCUCUUUUGCGGUCGCCACCGGUAUUCCGACGUCCAUGAUUGCUCAUUCGAUUACAAGGCGUUGGGGAGGGAGGAGAUUGCUAAGGCUAAUCCUGUGGUCAAAGCUGCCAAGAUUAUCAAGAUCUAGGUGUCACCAUUUAAGAUGCUUUCCAUGGACAACCUUUACUGGUAUAGUCGGCUGGUAUUCGUCCCCUUUUCCAAGGAAGAAUGGCUGUAUUCCAAGCUUCUACUGAUGAGGCCAAUGUUCUUGUAGUGUGGGUUAACAUUUGUGUGUGAAGACAAGCCUGGAAAUGAAAGCCAGUGGCCUUAUUAUUGACAGCAUCAUCCUCUCUUUAUGCAGUCUAAUUUGGAGGCUGGUGGGGUUUCAGAAAUCUAAUCAAGAGGCCAAACAAGCAGUUUUCUCAUCGGCCAAGGGUAAGCCAAAGACAACAUUAUUUGUCCUUGAGUUCCUCACAUGGUGGGUGGGUCUGAAUCUAUUGUGCUUGUGUUGAGGAAAGUCAAGGGAUAUCACAGGAACUUAAUUGGCUAGAAAUUUUUUGUUAUUAAUUUAGUAGGCCAUAUUGUAUUCUUGAAAUUAUUGGCUUCAACCCUUUGAUUCUCUUCCCGUUCAACAAAGUCGAGAACAAGCAAGUCAUCCGAUAGGAACAUAGGAACUGAGGAGGGGAAAGCAUAUGCUACUGGUCAUCAUGUGUGACAUGAGCUAAGAAGCAGUAGUACAAGACGAAGCCUCAAAUUCGGUAUUCAGAUAUUUUUGAGGGAUCGUUUAUUUAUUCUACUUGGAGGCAUCACCGGAUUCAUUGUCAUGUGUUGAUCGAUCACAGGACCAUGGCCUUUCCGGAAGGGCCGGACUCGAGUUUGCCUUCGCCGGCCGCGGCGCUUGUCCAGGGGAAGGGCACGAACCUGACCGUGUCGCCGCAGUUGCUCCUCUUGGUGACAGGACAGUCGAUGAUGGAGCUGCCGUCGGCGGCGACACAGAUGUGAAUCUUGUAGAGCUGCGACUCCAAGAACCACAGCUUGUUGAUGUUGCACUCCACCCAGGUGGAGGCCCCGAAGUGGGACGCCAGCACGCCCUUGAUGGUCUCCAAGCCGUAGAGCUUGCUCUUCGUCGGCACGAUUCCUUGGGAGAGAGAAGGCCGGUGUCAGUCACUGAUCCAUCUUCUAAACAUUUUCAGGCGAGGGGGGUCGACGACGUUACCGUAGGAGCUGAAGAGGGAGAGGAGGUCCACCUCGGCCCGGAGCUCAAGCGCGCGGGUGAAGUAGUUCACCUGGGUGAGGCUGGAGCAGGUGCCGUAGGUGCACCAGGCGCUCUGCCACUGGUUGACCCCGUCGUUGCUGGGGCAGCUCACGUCGCUCCAGUAGUCGUGCAGCGUCGGGAGGAGGUCGCUGAGCUGCCAUUAGUGCGUUAUCCAAGUAUCAGUAACAGAUUCGUAUUCACAGUAGUCUCCCUGAGUCAGUGGGGGUCUCAACAGAUCGAGCUCUUACUCUGUCAGCGGAGAAGGCGCAGAUGCUGCACUUCUUGACGAGCUUGCCAUUGCUGUCGUAGGUCUCCAUGGCUUGCACUUGGAAGUCCCGCGCCGGCAUCCCUGAGGACGGCUUGCAGCAUAUCCUCAAGAUGUCGCCGGUGCACUGCGCUCCCGGCCACUGCACUCAGAAGAACAUCAAACGUCAGAAGCGAAUGAGACCAUAUAGCAAAUAAGCUGGAAGCUAAGAGCAGCGUUGACGCAACAGAUCAGUAGAGGAAACUUAGAGAUAGCAUACCACAAGGGUCAAGGCCAUGAAGUCUGCGGACUUAGAGGAGACCAGAGAAGAGAGACACAAGCACAGUCCAAGCAAGAAGAGCAGCCUGAAAGCAGCCAUUGCAAGAGAACCAAGAGGGGAGGGUGGGUACCCGGUGUGGAAGCUCGCCGGAGUUGGUGACGAUGAGCUGAGACUUGAAGAGAACUGAUGCGUCUUUAUAGAACAGCGAGCCUGGGGACCGUAGUGAGCACGUUUUUUACGUGGACGCCUCUGUCACUCGCUCUGAGAGAGAGAGAGAGAUAAUUAUGCACAUUAUAUCUACGGCAGAAAAGAUGUGGAACACGAUGCACAUUAAUGCAGUAGAUCACGUGAUAAUAAACAUUUGCA